This 30-nucleotide non-coding RNA is filed under the name Homo sapiens (human). Lineage: Eukaryota; Metazoa; Chordata; Mammalia; Primates; Hominidae. The record is from RNAcentral.
CCACGAGUGUCUUCUCGUUCCCACGCGAGU